UACUGAUGAAAGCGCUUAACGCCAAACA
Molecule: small RNA, 28 nt
Filed under: Bombyx mori (domestic silkworm)
Lineage: Eukaryota; Metazoa; Arthropoda; Insecta; Lepidoptera; Bombycidae
Description: ovarian small RNA-21470
Source: RNAcentral